Molecule: ribosomal RNA, 253 nt
Filed under: uncultured bacterium
Lineage: Bacteria
Description: partial 16S ribosomal RNA
Rfam family: Bacterial small subunit ribosomal RNA
Source: RNAcentral
UACGUAGGGUGCAAGCGUUAAUCGGAAUUACUGGGCGUAAAGCGCACGUAGGCGGCGUCGUAAGUCAGGGGUGAAAUCCCGGAGCUCAACUCCGGAACUGCCCUUGAAACUGCAAUGCUAGAAUCUUGGAGAGGCGAGUGGAAUUCCGAGUGUAGAGGUGAAAUUCGUAGAUAUUCGGAAGAACACCAGUGGCGAAGGCGACUCGCUGGACAAGUAUUGACGCUGAGGUGCGAAAGCGUGGGGAGCAAACAGG